This is a small nuclear RNA of Nannospalax galili (Upper Galilee mountains blind mole rat), 103 nucleotides long. NCBI's taxonomy places the organism in Eukaryota, Metazoa, Chordata, Mammalia, Rodentia, Spalacidae. The record is from Ensembl.
GUGCUUGCUCCGGCAGCACAUACACGAAAGUCGGGACGAUACAGAAAAGAUUAGCAUGGCCCCUGCACAAGGAUGAAAAAAACGAAAGGAGCCGGGCAUGGUG